GACGAACGCUGGCGGCGUGCUUAACACAUGCAAGUCGAACGAUGAUCAGGAGCUUGCUCCUGUGAUUAGUGGCGAACGGGUGAGUAACACGUGAGUAACCUGCCCCUGACUCUGGGAUAAGCGUUGGAAACGACGUCUAAUACUGGAUACGACUGCCGGCCGCAUGGUCUGGUGGUGGAAAGAUUUUUUGGUUGGGGAUGGACUCGCGGCCUAUCAGCUUGUUGGUGAGGUAAUGGCUCACCGAGGCGACGACGGGUAGCCGGCCUGAGAGGGUGACCGGCCACACUGGGACUGAGACACGGCCCAGACUCCUACGGGAGGCAGCAGUGGGGAAUAUUGCACAAUGGGCGAAGGCCUGAUGCAGCAACGCCGCGUGAGGGAUGACGGCCUUCGGGUUGUAAACCUCUUUUAGUAGGGAAGAAGCGAAAGUGACGGUACCUGCAGGAAAAGCACCGGCUAACUACGUGCCAGCAGCCGCUGUAA
RNAcentral lists this ribosomal RNA (483 nucleotides) under uncultured bacterium. Its description in RNAcentral is "partial 16S ribosomal RNA". It matches the Rfam family "Bacterial small subunit ribosomal RNA", at positions 28 to 523 of the family's 1533-position model. The record is from RNAcentral.